ACAUACGACCAUACCCACUAGAAAAUACGGGAUCCCGUCCGCUCUCCCCUAGUCAAACUGGUGAGGGGCGAACUAGUACUCGGGUCGGUGACGACCGGGGAAUCCUCACUGUUGUAUGUA
Molecule: ribosomal RNA, 120 nt
Filed under: Neonectria ditissima
Lineage: Eukaryota; Fungi; Ascomycota; Sordariomycetes; Hypocreales; Nectriaceae
Source: RNAcentral